Molecule: long non-coding RNA, 292 nt
Filed under: Mytilus galloprovincialis (Mediterranean mussel)
Lineage: Eukaryota; Metazoa; Mollusca; Bivalvia; Mytilida; Mytilidae
Source: RNAcentral
CUCAAUGGAGUACGUAUGAGUAGUGUAACAGCCUUCCAUUCAAAACAAAAACAUUAGACAUGUGCUCUAAACCUGUUUUAUUGUACCAUGUGACUUUACUCAUUUAAAUAACUCUGGUCAUGUGAUUACUGAGCUUUCUGUAUUCAAUGAGAAAUACAAAAGCAUGCACACAUGACCAGAGUUAUUUAAAUGAGUAAAGUCACAUGGUACAAUAAAACAGGUUUAGAGCACAUGUCUAAUGUUUUUGUUUUGAAUGGAAGGCUGUUACACUACUCAUACGUACUCCAUUGAG